UACAGAGGGGGCAAGCGUUGUUCGGAAUUACUGGGCGUAAAGGGCGCGUAGGCGGCCUGCUAAGUCGAACGUGAAAUCCCCGGGCUCAACCCGGGAACUGCGUCCGAUACUGGCAGGCUUGAAUUCGGGAGAGGGAUGCGGAAUUCCAGGUGUAGCGGUGAAAUGCGCAGAUAUCGGGAGGAACACCUAUGGCGAAGGCAGCUCGCUGGGACGUUACUGACGCUGAGACGCGAAAGCGUGGGGAGCAAGCAGG
Molecule: ribosomal RNA, 253 nt
Filed under: uncultured bacterium
Lineage: Bacteria
Description: partial 16S ribosomal RNA
Rfam family: Bacterial small subunit ribosomal RNA
Source: RNAcentral